Long non-coding RNA from Equus caballus (horse), 3978 nucleotides. The record is from Ensembl. Lineage: Eukaryota; Metazoa; Chordata; Mammalia; Perissodactyla; Equidae.
GUCACCAGAGAUGCAGGGGGAGCUGGUGGGUGUCGGGAGAGUUGGGGUUGGGGGAGGUCGCCACGGUCGGACACUCAGCCCCCGACUCACGCAGGACCCCCGGAUUGGGGCGGCCGCCGUCAGGCUCCAGCCCACUGCCCUCGCAGGGCGGGCCACCUGGAGGCGGGCCACCUGGAGGCGGGAGGAGUCGACAGCGAUCAUAGUGAAAAUUCUCUCAAACCCGGCUCCCUCCUCCUUCGAAUCCGAGCCCUGGGAAGGGGCUCCGAGGCGCCUUCGGACUCCCCAGGCAGCGGAAACCCCAAGACAGAGACCUCGGUGACCCAGACCCCCUUCUCCAAGCCGAGAAUCCCUCUGCACCACAGCUGGCGCAGGAGUGAGGAGUUGUCGAAGGAGGCGCCGGGUUUCCUCGUAGAUGGGCGUGUUAUAUACAAGGGUUUUUCCUCCGAUCGCAACCGCAAUACGACCAGCUUUCGGGACUGAGCACCCGCUCAAUCUCCCGGUACUGGAGUCGGGGUUGUUGUGAAGACUAAAUGAAAUAAUGUAUUUGAAAGUUCCUGAUGUACAGGAAGUGCUCAAUAUUGAAGGCGAGGUUGGAUCAGGCACAGACCUGAGGGAUGGGGUCUGGGAAACCUGCAAUUUCUUUAUAUCAUUUCGUCUGCUUUGGACCCUACCUUUCAAAGAUGACUGUCGUUAUGAUUGGCUGUUAAUAUCUUUUCAGCUAACGGUCUCCCACCACCAGCCUCUAUGAGUGAAUGGCACCUGAAUUAUUUACUUUUUGGAACUCCUCGUUGGGGUGUGUGGUCACAAUUUGGAAUCCUAGAGUAAAUAAAUUCAAUACUCUUGAAGUAGCAGCAGGAAAUGCUUCUCCAAGCAAGAACAUGGCUCACAGGGCUGCGGCAUGUGAGCUCUUGCAAGAGUAUCAGAAGUCUGCAGGUGGACCUCACACCCUGCCUCAACAGCCCACCAGUGGAGCUCGGAAGAAGAGGAUGAUUGCUCCCGACACUGCUGGCAUAACAGAGGCUAUUUAGAAAGCACUUUCUAUGUUCCCAACAGUCUAAGCACUUUUCAUCCAUCUUCUCACUCUCACAACACAGUACCAGCCUGUAAUAAGUGGAUAUUUCUCCAGGGUCACAUUGUUCUGGGAAUGUGUAAGUAAACAAGCUAGGAGGCAAGGACAUUUGAUGAACUGACCAAUGAGACAAGACUUGACCGUGAGUUCCUUGAGGAUAGCUUCCUCAUCCGAUUCAGUUUUAUCUCUGCAGACAGAGGCAUGGGAAGAGUCACAGGACAGUUCCUGGGCAGUGGUUACACAGGCCCAAGGUUGAAGGGAACAAGAGGGACUUCAGGAGGCAGCUCAGGCUGCCAGUUGAGCCCAAGUCCUUGGUCCUUCUCAAAGGAAGAUUGCGUUUUCUCCAAGAUGAGCAAGGGACUAUACAGUUUUUCCAUCUGGACUGUUUUGCUGUCAAACUGUCAAGGCUGUGAGACUCCCCAAGACUACCUAGGCAUGUCCCCUCUUUGAUGGAAUCCACCUCAAGUAUUUUCAGGGUCCCCACGAUGCUUACGAUUGGUGCUACUCAAUCUUCAUUUUCCUGGAGAUGACUCUUCAGAGUCCUUUGAAAUCAAAGAACUCACAUGGGGGCUGGAAUGACUCAGGGAAGACAGGAGGUAAGCGUCUGUCCACAAUGAUGGGGUUUUCCAGCCAGGAGGUGCAACAGGUAGACCCUGUUCUACAACCUCACCUCUAGUUACAGUGGAUAAACGCGUUUAUAGAUCUGAGUCCCUUCUUAAAGAUAAGGGGUUUUUUUGGUAAUGAUUUUGCAUUUUCCCUUCUCAAAAUGGGAACUUAUGUUAUUUUGAAAUCCUUUGCCCGUUAAAAAAAAUUUUUGACAGAAAAAUAUGCAUAAAUAAAAUAUGUCAUGUAGGAAAGAUUGCAUUCCUAAUGUGCCUUUCUAUAAACUUAUUCCUUUCAAAAAGAUAAACUGUGACUUUAUGUAACAACAAAAAAUUGGCAAUGAUGUUCUUAGGCAUUUUUGUGAGAUAUGUAUAUUUUAAGGAUGUUAGCUCUUUGGCUGCCAUAUUACAUGUAUCAGUCUCCCCAACCAUAGUCUGCAAGGUGUACAGUAUAAGCACCGUAAAGGCAUGUACUUUUGGUCUACCCUCUGUGCCUAAUAAACAGCAUGGUGGGCAUGAAGUGUUCAACAAAUGAAUAUAAACCAGAAACUCUACAAGGCAGACCACCCUACAUUUUGCAACCUAUCUGAUAACACUAAUCUUAUUUCACAAGGUUUAUUUUCAUAAGCUAAGUAAAAAUAUUUGUAUUGAAAAUCAAUCAUAAACACCCUCUCUCAUCUCCAGAUAGCAGACAAUAUUCUAGAACAUAGAUCUAUGUCUCCUGAUUCCUAGCAGAGCCCUGACUGCUUUGGGAUUGAAAGAGAAUGUCUGCAGAGAGUAUCUAAGUCAUUUCUUAAAAUAUUCAGCUGAGAGAGAGUCCCUCUCAGGAGAGAGAGAGAAAGUCUCCCUCUAGACGGAAGCUUAGCUGGUUACACCUGUGGAGCUGGACUGUGGCAUGUCAAGACCCAAGUCCACUUACUGUGUCACCUUGGACAAGUUGUUAACUUCCCUAAUCCUCAGUGCCCUCCUCUGUGAAAAUCCUUUGUAAAAAAAUAGAUGCCCACCUUAAAAGAGUGUCUAGAACAUGUGUUCAAUAAAUUUUAGAUGUUAUUGUUUUUAUUGUUAUCACUAUGAUUAUGAUACCAGCCAACUCAUGUAAACAGCCAGUCCAGUUUCUGGAGAUUGCAGUAUCACUCCUCAGACUCAUCCAGUUUCUUCCCAAUUGAGUCUACACCUUUGCUUCUCCCUUCUGUAAAACACUGGGAUAAUCAUGGUAAUUAAAAAUUCCUUUGUGUUUAUAAGGCAUGAUCACAUCCAUUUUCCCGUUUGAUCCCCACAAUAACUCUGUUGAAGAAAGUGAGAAAGACUUUGUUAUCUCCAUUUUACAGGUUAGGAAAUGAAGGCAAAGAGAGGGUAAGUAACUUUCCCAAACUUACAAAAAACAGAAUGGAAUUUGAAGGAAUAUCUUUCUCACCGUGUCUCCAGGCUAAGUAGAAAGAGCUUUGGCAAAAUGAGUUGGAACUCCUAGUUGGAGUUCUCAGCUGCCAUGUUCCCUGGUCAACACUUCUGGUCAAGUUGUGCUGCCAUCACUGGGAGCAGCAGAUUGGGGAGCAUUUCUCUUACACUUCCUGGGAUUCUGGAUCCACAGUUGCUCCCUUACCUCUGAAGCCUAAGCAUCUGGUAUCAGCUUCUUAGCAAGCCCAUGGUUUACCAACAAGUGUUACUAGGAGGCAACUGACUGGGGUAAGUCACACUGUCUCUACACAUGCAAAUCCUUCCAACGAACAUCUUUAUCUGCUUUAAAUAUCAUCAACACGCUCACUGAAGGCAGCUUUGAAAAGAAAGUGAAGUCACAAGAAGGCAUCAGGCUGGCUGGAGUAGAUAGAUAAACGUUGAGGGUGGAGAGAUGCUUCUGUUCUGUGAUUGGUCAAAGUAGCUCCAGCUUCCAGGUGGCCAGGCCUGAUGCCUGGGUACUGAGGCAAGGGAUCUGAGCACUUUGCAUCCCUUUGUAUUGUGGGACCAUCCCCUUCUAUUCUAGUCCACAAAGUGGGGAAGGGCUGUCCCAAAGUACCUGGCCCAGGGCAAAUGUAAUGACCUAGAAUCAUGGAACCAACUCUGGCUGUACAACAUAAUCCUAUAGGAAGUUUUUAAUCAAUACUGAUGCCCACACCAAUUAAAUCAGAAUCUUGGAGCCUGAGAUCCAGACAUCAGUAUUUUUUUUAUAGUUGCAUUGAUAUACAUUGUAUUGUAUAUGUUGUAUAAUUGAUAUACAACAAGCUGCACAAAUUUCAUAAUUUGAUGAGUUUUGAUGUAAGUAUACAUCCCAACCCACCACCACAAUCAAGAUAACGAACACAGACAUCAGCC